GACGGACGCUGGCGGCGUGCUUAACACAUGCAAGUCGAACGGAAAGGCCCCAGCUUGCUGGGGUUCUCGAGUGGCGCACGGGUGAGUAACACGUGGGUGAUCUGCCCUGCACUCUGGGAUAAGCCUGGGAAACUGGGUCUAAUACCGGAUAGGACCGUGCUUUAGUGUGUGCUGUGGAGAGAUUUUCGGUGCAGGAUGAGCCCGCGGCCUAUCAGCUUGUUGGUGGGGUAAUGGCCUACCAAGGCGGCGACGGGUCGCCGGCCUGAGAGGGGGUACGGGCACAUUGGGACUGCGACACGGCGCAGACUCCAACGGGAGGCAGCAGGGGAGAAUAUUGCACAAUGGGGGCACGCGUGAGGCAGCGGCGCUGCGUGGGGGAUGACGGCUUUCGGGUUGUAAACCCCUGUCGGCAGGGACGAAGCUUUUGUGACGGUACCUGCAUAAGAAGCACCGGCUAACUACGUG
RNAcentral lists this ribosomal RNA (465 nucleotides) under uncultured bacterium. Its description in RNAcentral is "partial 16S ribosomal RNA". It matches the Rfam family "Bacterial small subunit ribosomal RNA", at positions 28 to 507 of the family's 1533-position model. The record is from RNAcentral.